AACAACCGAUGUCACCGAAUGACUGUCCCGUUGCCUUGUAUUCUGGUCUGUGAGGCUACUGUCAGACAGUAGUGUAAACAUGGAGGACGGUGCUACGAGCAGGUGACUACCAGUGUGAUAUCACGUGCCCAGAAAGCAACAGCACAUUUGAGGAAUACAGGAGCCUGCGUGAAACAGCUCAGUGAAGCCUGAUUUCUAAAAGCUCCAUCCAUGAAGCUGCUUUGAUCCAGAGUCCACGUUGUGAUCAUUCCCCACCAACAGCACUUGAACACAUCGGUGCCAGGCCUGUUUGACUAAGACUUAAGAGAGAACGCAAGGAGACGUGACAUGCAUCCC
Molecule: long non-coding RNA, 336 nt
Organism: Toxotes jaculatrix (banded archerfish)
Lineage: Eukaryota; Metazoa; Chordata; Actinopteri; Toxotidae
Exons: 3
Source: RefSeq, a predicted model, not a curated record